RNAcentral lists this transfer RNA (73 nucleotides) under Nelumbo nucifera (sacred lotus). It matches the Rfam family "tRNA". Rfam says of the family: Transfer RNA (tRNA) molecules are approximately 80 nucleotides in length. Their secondary structure includes four short double-helical elements and three loops (D, anti-codon, and T loops). The record is from Rfam by way of RNAcentral. Lineage: Eukaryota; Viridiplantae; Streptophyta; Magnoliopsida; Proteales; Nelumbonaceae.
GGGGAUGUAGCUCAUAUAGUAGAGUGUUCGCUUAGGAUGCGAGAGGUAUGGGGAUCGAUACCUCACAUUUCCA